UCUGCAACUCGACUGCACGAAGCUGGAAUCGCUAGUAAUCGCGGAUCAGCACGCCGCGGUGAAUACGUUCCCGGGCCUUGUACACACCGCCCGUCACACCAUGGAAGUCUGCAAUGCCCGAAGCCGGUGGCCUAACCACUUAUUGUGGAAGGAGCCGUCUAAGGCAGGGCAGAUGACUGGGGUGAAGUCGUAACAAGGUAAC
RNAcentral lists this ribosomal RNA (202 nucleotides) under uncultured bacterium. RNAcentral describes it as "partial 16S ribosomal RNA". It matches the Rfam family "Bacterial small subunit ribosomal RNA", at positions 1304 to 1500 of the family's 1533-position model. The record is from RNAcentral.